GAACAACGCUGGCGGCGUGCCUAAUGCAUGCAAGUCGUACGGGAGCCGCUUUGGCGGUCGACCGUGGCGGACGGGUGAGUAACACGUGGGUAACCUGCCCCGGCGCGGGGGAUAACCGCGGGAAACCGUGGCUAAUACCCCAUGGGCUCGGUUGGGGGGUGGCCUGAUCGAGCAAAGGCGGAAGCCGUGCCGGGAGGGGCCUGCGGCCUAUCAGCUAGACGGUGGGGUAAUGGCCUACCGUGGCGAUGACGGGUAGCUGGUCUGAGAGGACGAUCAGCCACACGGGGACUGAGACACGGCCCCGACUCCUACGGGAGGCAGCAGCAAGGAAUUUUCCGCAAUGGGCGCAAGCCUGACGGAGCGACGCCGCGUGGAGGAUGACGCCCUUCGGGGUGUAAACUCCUUUUCGGGGGGACGAAGGCAGUGACGGUACCCCCGGAAGAAGCACCGGCUAACUAC
RNAcentral lists this ribosomal RNA (459 nucleotides) under uncultured Chloroflexota bacterium. Its description in RNAcentral is "bacterial SSU rRNA". It matches the Rfam family "Bacterial small subunit ribosomal RNA", at positions 32 to 504 of the family's 1533-position model. The record is from RNAcentral. Lineage: Bacteria; Bacillati; Chloroflexota.